This 649-nucleotide ribosomal RNA is filed under the name uncultured marine bacterium. RNAcentral describes it as "bacterial SSU rRNA". It matches the Rfam family "Bacterial small subunit ribosomal RNA", at positions 90 to 774 of the family's 1533-position model. The record is from RNAcentral.
GUCUAGCGGCGGACGGGUUAGUAACGCGUGGGAACGUACCCUUUUCUGCAGGAUAGCCACUGGAAACGGUGAGUAAUACUGCAUACGCCCUUCGGGGGAAAGAUUUAUCGGAGAAGGAUCGGCCCGCGUUAGAUUAGAUAGUUGGUGGGGUAAUGGCCUACCAAGUCUACGAUCUAUAGCUGGUUUGAGAGGAUGAUCAGCAACACUGGGACUGAGACACGGCCCAGACUCCUACGGGAGGCAGCAGUGGGGAAUCUUAGACAAUGGGCGCAAGCCUGAUCUAGCCAUGCCGCGUGAGUGAAGAAGGCCUUAGGGUCGUAAAGCUCUUUCGCCUGUGAAGAUAAUGACUGUAGCAGGUAAAGAAACCCCGGCUAACUCCGUGCCAGCAGCCGCGGUAAUACGGAGGGGGUUAGCGUUGUUCGGAAUUACUGGGCGUAAAGCGCGCGUAGGCGGACAUUUAAGUCAGGGGUGAAAUCCCGGGGCUCAACCCCGGAACUGCCCUUGAUACUGGGUGUCUUGAGUUCGAGAGAGGUGAGUGGAAUUCCGAGUGUAGAGGUGAAAUUCGUAGAUAUUCGGAGGAACACCAGUGGCGAAGGCGGCUCACUGGCUCGAUACUGACGCUGAGGUGCGAAAGUGUGGGGAGCAAACA